RNAcentral lists this ribosomal RNA (538 nucleotides) under uncultured bacterium. RNAcentral describes it as "bacterial SSU rRNA". It matches the Rfam family "Bacterial small subunit ribosomal RNA", at positions 134 to 648 of the family's 1533-position model. The record is from RNAcentral.
GAAACCGGGAUAACUUCGCGAAAGCGUUGCUAAUACCGGAUAUUGUCCUUUUUGCCGUGGCAUGAAGGAUGAAAGGUGACCUCUUCAUGAAAGUUGCCGUUUAAGGAGGGGCUCGCGUACCAUUAGCUUGCUGGUAGGGUAACGGCCUACCAAGGCUACGAUGGUUAGCUGGUUUGAGAGGAUGAUCAGCCACACUGGAACUGAAACACGGUCCAGACUCCUACGGGAGGCAGCAGUGUGGAAUUUUGCGCAAUGGGGGAAACCCUGACGCAGCAACGCCGCGUGAGUGAAGAAGGCCUUCGGGUCGUAAAGCUCUGUCAAGUGGGAAAAAAGCCUUUUGAUCAAUAGUCAAAGGGUCUGAUGGUACCACUGGAGGAAGCACCGGCUAACUCCGUGCCAGCAGCCGCGGUAAUACGGAGGGUGCAAGCGUUGUUCGGAAUUAUUGGGCGUAAAGAGCGUGUAGGCGGUUUGGUAAGUCAGAUGUGAAAGCCCCUGGGCUCAACCCAGGAAGUGCAUUUGAUACUGCCUCCCUUAGAGU